AUUGAACGCUGGCGGCAUGCCUUACACAUGCAAGUCGAACGGCAGCACGGGAGCAAUCCUGGUGGCGAGUGGCGAACGGGUGAGUAAUACAUCGGAACGUGCCCAAUCGUGGGGGAUAAUGUAGCGAAAGUUACGCUAAUACCGCAUACGAUCUACGGAUGAAAGCGGGGGACCGCCAGGCCUCGCGCGAUUGGAGCGGCCGAGGGCAGAUUAGGUAGUUGGUGGGGUAAAGGCCUACCAAGCCUCCGAUCUGUAGCUGGUCUGAGAGGACAAUCAGCCACACUGGGACUGAGACACGGCCCAGACUCCUACGGGAGGCAGCAGUGGGGAAUUAUGGACAAUGGGCGAAAGCCUGAUCCAGCAAUGCCGCGUGCAGGACGAAGGCCUUCGGGUUGUAAACUGCUUUUGUACGGAGCGAAACGACUUUCACUAAUACUGGGGGCUAAUGACGGUACCGUAAGAAUAAGCACCGGCUAACUACGUGCCAGCAGCCGCAGUAA
This 500-nucleotide ribosomal RNA is filed under the name uncultured bacterium. RNAcentral's name for it is "partial 16S ribosomal RNA". It matches the Rfam family "Bacterial small subunit ribosomal RNA", at positions 30 to 523 of the family's 1533-position model. The record is from RNAcentral.